RNAcentral lists this ribosomal RNA (473 nucleotides) under uncultured bacterium. RNAcentral describes it as "bacterial SSU rRNA". It matches the Rfam family "Bacterial small subunit ribosomal RNA", at positions 335 to 799 of the family's 1533-position model. The record is from RNAcentral.
ACUCCUACGGGAGGCAGCAGUGGGGAAUAUUGCAUAAUGGGCGCAAGCCUGAUGCAGCCAUGCCGCGUGUGUGAAGAAGGCCUUCGGGUUGUAAAGCACUUUCAGUUGUGAGGAAGGUGGUGUCGUUAAUAGCGGCAUCAUUUGACGUUAGCAACAGAAGAAGCACCGGCUAACUCCGUGCCAGCAGCCGCGGUAAUACGGAGGGUGCGAGCGUUAAUCGGAAUUACUGGGCGUAAAGCGCAUGCAGGUGGUUUGUUAAGUCAGAUGUGAAAGCCCGGGGCUCAACCUCGGAACUGCAUUUGAAACUGGCAGACUAGAGUACUGUAGAGGGGGGUAGAAUUUCAGGUGUAGCGGUGAAAUGCGUAGAGAUCUGAAGGAAUACCGGUGGCGAAGGCGGCCCCCUGGACAGAUACUGACACUCAGAUGCGAAAGCGUGGGGAGCAAACAGGAUUAGAUACCCUGGUAGCACAGAG